This 692-nucleotide ribosomal RNA is filed under the name Porpomyces mucidus. Its description in RNAcentral is "eukaryotic LSU rRNA". The stretch from base 304 to 460 matches the Rfam family "5.8S ribosomal RNA". Lineage: Eukaryota; Fungi; Basidiomycota; Agaricomycetes; Trechisporales; Hydnodontaceae. The record is from RNAcentral.
GUAACAAGGUUUCCGUAGGUGAACCUGCGGAAGGAUCAUUAUCGAAGCUCUAAGGGGGGGGGGUCUUGCGUUCCGGUCGCCAGCGCCGGCUUCUGCCGUUUUGCAGCGGUGCCGGCUCGCCCCCUCGUCCAACCCUUCACACCCCUGUGCACCUUUUUAAAACCUUUCUCUGGAGGGGGAUGGCAAAAGGGCCGGCUGCGGGAACGCGGCGGGCCCCGAUCCUCCCCACCUGGGGGGGUUUACAAACUCUGUCGAAACGCGUGUGUUGCGCGGCCUCCGUGCCGUCCUAACAAACUUUGUAACAACUUUCAACAACGGAUCUCUUGGCUCUCGCAUCGAUGAAGAACGCAGCGAAAUGCGAUAAGUAAUGUGAAUUGCAGAAUUCAGUGAAUCAUCGAAUCUUUGAACGCACCUUGCGCUCCUUGGUAUUCCGACUCGAGGAGCAUCCUGUUGAGUUCUGGAAACAUCAGUCCCCCCGGGGUGCGUGCACCCUCGCGGGCCGGAUUGGACUUGGGGGCCUGCUGCCGAGAGGCGGCUCCCCUUAAAUGCAUCGGCGGCGGCCAGUCGACCCUUGGCGUUGUAUCACCCUCGCCUCAGAGGCGACCAGUGCCCCGCCCCGACCUGCCCGUUUGGAGUGGCGGUCAAACUGCCAUUUGAAAUUCUACCUCAAAUCAGUAGACCCUAGUCAAAAG